Diceros bicornis minor is the source of this 1691-nucleotide non-coding RNA. The record is from the annotation of a RefSeq genome assembly. Lineage: Eukaryota; Metazoa; Chordata; Mammalia; Perissodactyla; Rhinocerotidae.
AUGGGGCUGGGAAUUAGCGCUCGGAGACGGGAGCUGUGCAAAGCGGAAGUGGGGCCACAUGUCCAGGGCUCACUUGACCAUGGCGUGGACAGCCAGGGGUGGCCCACAGACCAUGGAGAAGUCCGGGUCAGCUGUGACAGCAAAGGCAACUCCCAACCUCUGAAGGUGUUCCCCAUACUCCCAGGAUGCAAAGCCCUAGAGGAAAAUGAACCUGUGGUCCUGGCCUGCUUGGUAAUAGGGUACUCCCCAGAGCCGGUGCAGAUCACCUGGCCCUCAAAGAUGCAGGAUCAGACCACAUGGACCUUCCAGUUCUUGAAGCAAGAACAAAGCUACAACAAGGUCUCCUUCCUGAAGACCCACUGGAAGCCUGGCCAGCACAGCUGCAGCGUCCACAACAAGGCCACCAAGACUGACAUGAAGAAGACCUUCCAGGAGCCAGCGUCUUGGGCAGCUCAGAAGCCCUCAACUUUACCUGUACCACGAGUGGCCUCCACCAACGCCCCCACCACUCUCAGGAACCCAGUGCCCUCCAUCCACAACAGCCAACCAGAAGCCCAGAAGCCCGGAAGCCGAGUGGAAGCCGCCAUCAAAGAGUGUCGGAACCACACCAACCCUCCCAGUGUCUUCCUGCUGCCCCCUCCCCUGAGGGGCCUGUGGCUCCAGGGCGAGGCCGCCUUCACCUGCCUGGCGGUAGGGGAUGACCUGCAGGAGGCCCACUUGUCCUGGGAGGUGGCUGGGGUGCCCCACAGCAGGGGCGUGGAGGACGGGCUGCUGGAGCAUCUCGCCAAUGGUUCCCAGAGCCGGAGCAGCCGCCUGGCCCUGCCCAGGUCCUCGUGGGCUGCAGGGAACUCCAUCAGCUGCAAUCUGAGCCACCCCGACCUGAAGUCCAGCAUGGCAGCAGUGUUGCUGAGAGAACAUGCCGCGUCGGCACCCAGCAGCCUCUUCAUCCGUGCCCUGACCACACCGGGCCUGCACGCCCCUGCCUCCUGGCUCCAGUGCAAGGUGUCCGGCUUCUCACCCCCGGACAUCCUCCUCACCUGGCUGGAGGGCCAGCACGAGGUGGACCCUUCUUGGUUUGCCACCGCACGCCCCAUGGCCCAGCCUGGAAACACCACGUUCCAGACCUGGAGCGUCCUGCGUGUCCCGACCACCCCGGACCCUCGGACGGCCACCUACACGUGUGUGGUCGGGCACGAGGCCUCCCGGAAGCUGCUCAGCGGCGCCUGGAGCCUGGACACUGGCGGUCUGGCCACAACCCCUCAGAGCAAGGAUGAGAACAGCGAUGACUAUGCAGACCUGGAGGACACCAGCAGCCUGUGGCUUACAUUCAUGGCCCUCUUCAUUGUCACCCUGCUGUACAGUGGCUUUGUCACCCUCAUCAAGGUGAAGUAGCCCCCGGAGAGUGGACAUCCUGCACCGCAGAGAAGGGAAGCUCAUCCUCCAUGCUGUCCAUCGCUGCCAGGGGCAGACUGCCCCCAGACCCCACCCUGUGUGGGGAGGCACUCCAGCCCCAUCUCUGCCCAGCCCCCAGCUCAUCUCUGUCCACUGCAGAGCCUAGCAUCCUGCCGGGAGAGAAGGUGCCAAGCGACAGGGAAGCAGGUCUCUCCCCAGCCUGGGCCUGCACUUCCCCCAGAGCCAGUGGUCCUGACUGCAGCCCCCUGGCCUUCCUGCCCCACUGACCAGCCCCAUAA